GAUGAACGCUAGCGGCAGGCCUAACACAUGCAAGUCGAGGGGUGGCAGGAUUAAGCUUGCUUAAUUGCUGACGACCGGCGCACGGGUGCGUAACGCGUAUGCAACCUACCUUAUACCGGGGUAUAGCCCGGAGAAAUUCGGAUUAAUCCCCCAUAGUACUAAUGAAUCGCAUGGUUUAUUAGUUAAAGCAUUGCGGUAUAAGAUGGGCAUGCGUCCUAUUAGCUAGAUGGUGAGGUAACGGCUCACCAUGGCUACGAUAGGUAGGGGGCCUGAGAGGGUGGUCCCCCACACUGGUACUGAGACACGGACCAGACUCCUACGGGAGGCAGCAGUGAGGAAUAUUGGUCAAUGGGCGCAAGCCUGAACCAGCCAUGCCGCGUGCAGGAAGAAUGCCCUAUGGGUUGUAAACUGCUUUUAUUUGGGAAUAAACCUCUUUACGUGUAGAGAGCUGAAGGUACCAAAUGAAUAAGCACCGGCUAACUCCGUGCCAGCAGCCGCCGUAA
Molecule: ribosomal RNA, 503 nt
Filed under: uncultured bacterium
Lineage: Bacteria
Description: partial 16S ribosomal RNA
Rfam family: Bacterial small subunit ribosomal RNA
Source: RNAcentral